UACGUAGGGUGCAAGCGUUGUCCGGAAUUAUUGGGCGUAAAGAGCUCGUAGGCGGUCUGUCGCGUCGGCUGUGAAAACUCGGGGCUCAACCCCGAGCCUGCAGUCGAUACGGGCAGACUAGAGUGCGGUAGGGGAGACUGGAAUUCCUGGUGUAGCGGUGGAAUGCGCAGAUAUCAGGAGGAACACCGAUGGCGAAGGCAGGUCUCUGGGCCAUUACUGACACUGAGAAGCGAAAGCAUGGGGAGCGAACAGG
This 253-nucleotide ribosomal RNA is filed under the name uncultured bacterium. RNAcentral describes it as "partial 16S ribosomal RNA". It matches the Rfam family "Bacterial small subunit ribosomal RNA", at positions 524 to 776 of the family's 1533-position model. The record is from RNAcentral.